This 1722-nucleotide long non-coding RNA is filed under the name Homo sapiens (human). RNAcentral's name for it is "HSALNT0277947". The record is from RNAcentral. Lineage: Eukaryota; Metazoa; Chordata; Mammalia; Primates; Hominidae.
GGGGAUGGGGGGGCAGAGGGGUCUGUCCGGUGAACUUUCUAGUGCGUGGCCUGGCCUAGUGCAGGGCAAGCACCCGCUUCCUGCCUUCCCUGGUUUAUACAGCCCUGCACUCACGCACCCGUGUGUUAAUUCAUCUGUCCCAGGACUUCCACAUCUUUCUGUAAAUUGGACAAAGAUCCCUGUGUCCAGAGGAGGAGACAACACCUCCACGCCCCAGUCCCGAAGCUCUGUGGACCCUGCCUUUGGACACCCGCCUAGGAGGCUGUGUCCAACCCGGGAUGAUCCUAAAGAGCAGGUGUGUGUUUGACAAGUUUGUCUGCACAGAACACAGUUGAGUGAACAGAAAAGCUGUUGUCACCAAGGGAGUGUUGUGACACAUUUUUGGCUGAAGAAAUUACAUAGAUUUUGCUCUCCUGAAUUGUGAUUACAUUCUACAGAGGAUUCAAUUUUGGAUUUUGCUUUUUUUUUGUUUUUGAGAGAGAGUCUUGCUCUGUUGCCCAGGCUGGAGUGCAGUGGUCCAAUCUCAGCUCACUGCAAGCUCCACCUACCAGGUUCAAGUGAUUCUCCCGGGUUCAAGCAAUUCUCCUGCCUCAGCCUCCCAAGUAGCUGGAAUUACAAGCGCCCUCCUUCAUGCCCGGCUAAUUUUUGUAUUUUUGUAGAGAUGGAGUUUUACCAUGUUGGCCAGGCUGGUCUUGAACUCCUUUGACCUCAGGUGAUCCACCCACCUCGGCCUCCCAAAGUGCUGGGAUUAUAGGCGUGAGCCACCGCGCCCCGCCAGGAUUGUGACCCAUGCGCUCACCUCCUGUCUCCCCGAGGGCCUGAGCUCCUUUUCUUUGGCCUGUCUGAUUGAUGGUUGCCCAUCUACUUUCUAUUCUGCUUUCUGGAAAACCCCUGAGCAUUUCAAGCCUCCAAGUCCUGAGAAUUUCUGCAGCUUUCCCAAGCAGGAAGACCAGGGAGAGGAGAAGAGAAGGAGAUGCUGGCAGGGGCAGCAGGGCCGGGGUGACCUCUCCCAGCUCAGGGCCCUAGCUCUGGUCUUUCCAGGGAUGGAUCUCCCAUCCUCCCAGUAUUUCUGCCACCCAUCCUCUAACCCAUUAAAAAUAAGAAAAGUGAAUAAAAUUCUCCCCUUCAAAAUAAGAGCUCUUAAUAUUUCAGUUCAAUUAAUUCCUGGCAUUUUACCUAUUCAUGUUAUUUUAUUUUAUUUUUUUAGUUUUAGUAGAUAAGGGGGUCUCCCUGUGUUGCCCAGGCUGGUUUGGAACUCCUGGCCUUUAGUGAUGAUCCUCCCCUCUCAGCUUCCCAAAGUGUUGGGAUUACAGGCAUGAGCCAUUUUGCCUGGCCAGGCAGGAAAAUGGCGUGAACCCAGGAGGUGGAGCUUGUAGUGAGCCGAGAUUGCGCUCCAGCCUGGGCAACAGACUGAGACACCCCUUCUCAAAAAAACAAAACGAAACAAAAAAUCAGGGUAGCACUUCCAUCCCCAGGCCCAGGCCACUCUUCUAAGUGCUGAGAGGAUCUGAGCUCACGUGAGGCUGCCCUAGGCCUGCAGGGGCCAUUCUCAUCUUACAGAGGAGGGGCCAGAGGUGCAGAGAGGUGGGGUAACCUGCCCAGGCCAUGGAGCUGGGCCACUUUCCUGGCCAGCCCUGCCAGCCUCUGCAUCACGGGCCCUGCAGGAGGGAGCCUUUGGGAACCAGGCUCUCUUCUUCCUAAAUUUUAAAAUAAAAGCAUUUC